GUAGGUGGCAAGCGUUGUCCGGGAAUUAUUGGGGCGUAAAGCGCGCGCAGGCGGUUCUUUAAGUCUGAUGUGAAAGCCCACGGGCUCAACCGUGGAGGGUCAUUGGAAACUGGAGAACUUGAGUACAGAAGAGGAAAGCGGAAUUCCACGUGUAGCGGUGAAAUGCGUAGAGAUGUGGAGGAACACCAGUGGCGAAGGCGGCUUUCUGGUCUGUAACUGACGCUGAGGCGCGAAAGCGUGGGGAGCAAACAGGAUUAGAUACCCUGGUAGUCCACGCCGUAAACGAUGAGUGCUAAGUGUUAGGGGGUUUCCGUCCCUUAGUGCUGCAGCUAACGCAUUAAGCACUCCGCCUGGGGAGUACGGCCGCAAAGGCUG
RNAcentral lists this ribosomal RNA (375 nucleotides) under uncultured organism. RNAcentral describes it as "partial 16S ribosomal RNA". It matches the Rfam family "Bacterial small subunit ribosomal RNA", at positions 527 to 896 of the family's 1533-position model. The record is from RNAcentral.